RNAcentral lists this ribosomal RNA (951 nucleotides) under Phytophthora cactorum. Its description in RNAcentral is "bacterial SSU rRNA". It matches the Rfam family "Bacterial small subunit ribosomal RNA", at positions 601 to 1520 of the family's 1533-position model. The record is from RNAcentral. Lineage: Eukaryota; Oomycota; Peronosporomycetes; Peronosporales; Peronosporaceae.
AUUAAAGCUCAACUUUAUAUAUUUUUUCAAAACUGAUAAACUGGAGUAUAAAUAGAGGAUAAUGGAAUUUCUAUUGGAGUGAUAAAAUACGUUGAUAAUAGAAGGAAGAUCUAUGGCGAAGGCAAUUAUCUGGGUAUAUACUGACACUGAGAAACGAAAGCUUGGGUAGCGAACGGGAUUAGAUACCCCGGUAGUCCAUGCUGUAAACGAUGAGUGCUAAUAUUUAGAAUUUUUAGAUAUAACAGCUAACGCGUUAAGCACUCCGCCUGAAAAGUAUAAUCGCAAGAUUGAAAUUCAAAGGAAUUGACGGGAGUCUACACAAGCGGUGGAGCAUGUGGUUUAAUUCGAUAAUACGCGCAGAACCUUACCAACUCUUGCUAAUUUUUAUAUAAAAUAUUAUAUAAAAAACAGGCGUUGCAUGGCUGUCGUCAGCUCGUGUUGUGAAAUGUUUGGUUAAAUCCUUUAACGAGCGCAACCCUUAUUGUUAGUUGCUAAUUUACUAAAAAAAAUAAAAGUACUCUAACAAAAAAAUUAAUGAUAGGUUAAUGGAAGGUGGGGAUGACGUCAAGUCUUCAUGGCCCUUAUGAGUUGGGCUACACACGUGCUACAAUGAUAAUCACAAUGAGAGGCAAUAAUGAUAAAAGUUGGAGCAAAUCUUUAAAAAUUAUCUUAGUUCGGAUUAAGGGCUGAAACUCGCCCUUAUGAAGUUGGAAUCGCUAGUAAUCGCAGAACAGCAUGCUGCGGUGAAUAUGUUACUGGACUUUGUACACACCGCCCGUCACAUCAGGGAAGUUGAUUAUUUUUAAAAUAAUUCUUAAUUAUUUAAUAUAAUUAUCUAAUUAUUUAAUUAUAUUAAUUUAUAAUUUAUAUUAAAUAACUUAAAAUUCCUAAAAAGUGAUUAGUAACUUUGAUGAAGUCGUAACAAGGUAGUCGUAGGGGAACCUGUGUCUG